This 497-nucleotide ribosomal RNA is filed under the name uncultured bacterium. RNAcentral's name for it is "partial 16S ribosomal RNA". It matches the Rfam family "Bacterial small subunit ribosomal RNA", at positions 28 to 507 of the family's 1533-position model. The record is from RNAcentral.
GAUGAACGCUGGCGGCGUGCCUAAUACAUGCAAGUCGAGCGAACAGACGAGGAGCUUGCUCCUCUGACGUUAGCGGCGGACGGGUGAGUAACACGUGCAUAACCUACCUAUAAGACUGGGAUAACUUCGGGAAACCGGAGCUAACACCGGAUAAUAUAUUGAACCGCAUGGUUCAAUAGUGAAAGACGGUUUUGCUGUCACUUAUAGAUGGAUCCGCGCCGCAUUAGCUAGUUGGUAAGGUAACGGCUUACCAAGGCGACGAUGCGUAGCCGACCUGAGAGGGUGAUCGGCCACACUGGAACUGAGACACGGUCCAGACUCCUACGGGAGGCAGCAGUAGGGAAUCUUCCGCAAUGGGCGAAAGCCUGACGGAGCAACGCCGCGUGAGUGAUGAAGGUCUUCGGAUCGUAAAACUCUGUUAUUAGGGAAGAACAAAUGUGUAAGUAACUAUGCACGUCUUGACGGUACCUAAUCAGAAAGCCACGGCUAACUACGUG